This 30-nucleotide small nuclear RNA is filed under the name Cervus elaphus hippelaphus. Lineage: Eukaryota; Metazoa; Chordata; Mammalia; Artiodactyla; Cervidae. The record is from RNAcentral.
GUGCUUGCUUCGGCAGCACAUAUACUACAA